RNAcentral lists this ribosomal RNA (253 nucleotides) under uncultured bacterium. RNAcentral describes it as "partial 16S ribosomal RNA". It matches the Rfam family "Bacterial small subunit ribosomal RNA", at positions 524 to 776 of the family's 1533-position model. The record is from RNAcentral.
UACGGAGGGGGCUAGCGUUGUUCGGAAUUACUGGGCGUAAAGCGCGCGUAGGCGGGCCGUCAAGUCGAGGGUGAAAUCCCCCAGCUCAACUGGGGAAGUGCCUCCGAUACUGGCGGCCUCGAGGGGGAUAGGGGCAUGCGGAACUUCCGGUGGAGCGGUGAAAUGCGUAGAUAUCGGAAGGAACACCGGUGGCGAAAGCGGCGUGCUGGAUCCCUUCUGACGCUGAGGCGCGAAAGCCAGGGGAGCGAACGGG